GACAGAGGUGCCAAGCGUUAGGCGGAAUCACUGGGCUUAAAGCGUGUGUAGGCGGGUCGUUAAGUACCUUGUGAAAUCCCCCGGCUCAACCGGGGAACGGCUGGGUAUACUGGCGAUCUUGAGCCACCUAGGGGCAGUCGGAACAAGUGGUGGAGCGGUGAAAUGCGUAGAUAUCACUUGGAACGCCAAUGGUGAAAACAGACUGCCUGGGGGUGUGACUGACGCUGGAGACACGAAAGCCAGGGGAGCAAACGGG
This 256-nucleotide ribosomal RNA is filed under the name uncultured bacterium. Its description in RNAcentral is "partial 16S ribosomal RNA". It matches the Rfam family "Bacterial small subunit ribosomal RNA", at positions 524 to 776 of the family's 1533-position model. The record is from RNAcentral.